Molecule: long non-coding RNA, 2716 nt
Organism: Artibeus jamaicensis (Jamaican fruit-eating bat)
Lineage: Eukaryota; Metazoa; Chordata; Mammalia; Chiroptera; Phyllostomidae
Exons: 3
Source: RefSeq, a predicted model, not a curated record
UUUCUCACUCUAUAAAACAUCAGGAUUACAAAGAUACCUUCACAAAUGUAGUUUUAUAACGGCCACUUUUAAGGGGACACCUCUGUUUCCUCCCUGUUACUGAACAGGUGAUCAGUUACCAACUUGUUACGACAGGAAAACUGUGGCGACCAUCUGCACCCAGGGUGUUCGAAGCACUUCGUGAUGAGUGCCCUGCACAGAUCUUUGAUUGGCUUUCUGAUUAUUUCCUUGGAAUAAAGUCUUAAAAGUGAAAGUACUGGGUCAAGGGUAUAAGUUGUAUGUUCUUAACGUGCCCUGCCGAAUAGCUUUCCGGAAAGAUGACCGUGUAGGCCCCUGCAGCAGACUGUAAAGGGAACUUUUCGCAAACUUGGAAAUACAGCAGGAUGAAGAACGGACGCCUUCCCAAGGCAGAAGCGGGUGCUAAUUAACCUCACUCAAGGACCACUUAUCUAGGGAAGGUGCCGCGUGCGGCUUUGCCGUUUACCAGAAGAGUAUUACCCUAAUGACUACAACUGUAUUGCCCUGUAGGGCACCUGUUGACAAAUUCAUUUCAACCUUCAUCUCCCUGACUGACACUCACUAUUCUCUAUUGAACCUUUCUGGUUCCUUCAAAAACCAAUGAGUUAAAGAAAGCUCUGACACGUGUUCAUUCCAUAUUUGUACGACUCGUGUUUUUUUUUUAAGAUUUUUUAAAGUUUUAUUUAUUUUUAGAGAGGGGACGGGAAGGAGAAAGAGAGUUAGAGAAACAUCCAUGUGUGGUUGCCUCUCACGUGGCCCCCACUGGGGACCUGGCCUGCAACCCAGGCAUGUGCCCCAACCGGGAACCAAACCCGAGACCCUCUGGUUUGCAGCCUAAACUCAAUCCACUGGGCUACACCAGCCAGGGGUGUGUGACUCAUGUUUUUUAACUUUUUGGCAAUUAUACUUGGAUAAUUUCCCUUAGUAAAAAUAAAACUCUGAGAGCACUGAAUGAGUUUUUAAUAGAAAAUGAGAGUUAAGAUAUGUAUAAAUAUUAGAUUAACAUUACAAUUGAACUGGAUUUCCUGAACCCGUAUCUGCCAGGAAUGAGCAGGGGAACCGAACCUGCGCUGGGGCAGAACUUUGGGUCUGAGGUGACUGCCAGUCCUCCCCAGGAAGUCCUAGGAAGGACCACUCCGGAUAAAAGACUUGAGCAGGUUUCUGACAAACUCAGAUGAGUUCAAGAGCUCCCGAGGCAUCGGGGCUGCCGACCCAGGUGACUGAGCGGCAGGCAGUAUCUGCAAGCCGGACCCCUUUCUUCCCUGCAAAGCCUCCGCCCAGAGAGAAAUAUUUCAAUUGGCUUGUUCAGGGACCACGACCCUCAUCACAAGAGUCAAUAAGCGUGUCCUUCAGUGAGGACUGAAAAAGAGUGCGGAUGGAGAAGAAACUGGGCGUCAGGUUGGGAACAGAAGAGAGGAGUGCCAUCCGUGGGAAGGAGCCGGAGCAGGCGUUGGAGAUGCGGGCGGGGCAGGAAGCUGCACAAAGGCCUGCACCGACUCCCCUUGGUUCCUUCGGGUCCCAGCUCUCGCCGGACUGAGUUCUCAAGACUGUUCAGGGUCUGGCACUGAGACCGGAAGUGAGCCCCAAAUAAUCUGAAGACAGCAAACGGCAGUUCCGUGGGUGCCUGCUAUUUCAGUUUGACGCAGGAUGCCUCAGAAAGAAUGACGGGCCAUCAUGCCUGGCAGGUCUCAGAUGUUCUGCACAUCAGAAGCCACUGGGAGGCCCGCAGUUGAAGGGGUGGCCGCCGGAGGAUGAUGUGGGUGGAGCAAGGAGGGAGGACCGGGUGGCGUAGGGGUUUUGUACUGAGGGCCAGUGAUGAUGUUUUGACAUUUAUUUCCUGCUACUGAAAUUUGAAUCUGAGUGAAUUGUCCCUAUUUCUGAUGAUGUCAGUAUUGCAGAGACAUAUUCAUAAUGAACAAAUCUUCCUUUCUUUCCACGUGUAUCUCUAAGAAACAGAUCCAGCUGAUUUUGCAUGUAAAUACCAAGAGCAAUUUACCUGGUACCAAACCCACACCCCAGCAUGGCCCCUCCGACCCUCACCCCACACCGCCCCCAAAUGCUCUGGAACCUCUCUCCGGUGGGUGAUCCCUGCCUGGUCCUGGCUGCAGUCAGCAGUCCCAGUGAGGGGUUUUGUGUGUUUAGGCCUCAUUUCUUUUGUCUUUUUCCUACUCUGUUCCCAGCUUUUGCCGAUUUCUAGUGUUUACUUCGUGUUUGAUUCCAUUCCAUGGAAAUAAAAAGUAUGUUGUAUAUACAAAAAAAAAAGCCCAAUGCCCAGCCCAUAGCCCAUCCCACUAUGCAGGAAUGGAGCGUGGGGUGCAGGCACCCACAUUUGUUUACAGAUGGCCAGGCGAGUCCUCCACACAGCCACAUCAGAGAACCAGGGAUCCAGCCCUGGCUCCUCAGACUUGAAGUGAAAGGCAUCACCAGGAAUCUUGCGAAAAUGUAAGUCUGAUUCGGCAGGCCUGCAGUGGGGGCCUCAUUCUGCAUUUCUCGCAAGCUCAAACAGGCUGCUGAGGCCGCUGGUCCAUGGACCCCUCUCUGAGCAGCAACAUUCUGGCCAACUCGCUACCUCCACUCAGCCUUGCCCGCCACACUGAUUUUCCAUUGGGGCUGCAGGAACCCCUGACCCAGGGCAAACAAGCGAUGUCCCCCUUCUGCCAGACAAGCCCAGGCCCUAACCCCGGAGUGCAUCUUGCCU